GUCAAAAUUGGGGGGUCUGGUCAUCUACAAUACAAGGUCAAUAUUGGGGGGUUUGGUCAUCUACAAGGUCUAUUGCCCCCCUCCUCCCCCCCCUUACAAGGUCAAUAUUGGUUUAUCAUUCUUACACCAUGCACCGCUACAACAUUACACAACUCUUACACAAUGUGUUAUUGGUCACACUCCUGCUGCCUCUCCUCCUGCUGUGCACACUUUUGAGCGUACCAUGGGGCACACCAACGGGGGUUCCCUCUCGGCUGCGGGCGUGCCUCCGCAAGAGAUCUGCAAUCAACACACCUGCCCGUGAUGAGCGACCAGCGGGUGCCAGAACGUAGCUUCUCCUACCCAGUACACUUCCUCGUCGUCCAGCUGUGUAUCUCGUCUACCUGGACCCCCUUUGGAUUCCCCCUUGCCUUCCUGGACUAAGACCUCACUCCUGUCCUUGACCAUCCGCCUGCCCUCUGAUGUCCGAGCCUGCUUUUCUGCCUCGAUCUCAACACGCACACUCAACACCCUCUGGUGACCACGCUCAGAUAAUACUUGCACAUAGUCACACUACAUCUCUUUUAAGCUAAUCACACACUGCACUCACAUACUGAGCUGUCAAUAAACACGCUGACAGCUAACGACA
Molecule: long non-coding RNA, 628 nt
Organism: Nerophis lumbriciformis (worm pipefish)
Lineage: Eukaryota; Metazoa; Chordata; Actinopteri; Syngnathiformes; Syngnathidae
Source: RefSeq, a predicted model, not a curated record